UACAGGGGUUGGACAAUGAAACUGAAACACCUGUCAUUUUAGUGUGGGAGGUUUCAUGGCUAAAUUGGAGCAGUCUGGUGUUCAAUCUUCAUUAAUUGCACAUUAUUGCACCAGUAAGAGCAGAGUGUGAAGGUUCAAUUAGCAGGGUAAGAGCACAGUUCUGUUCUAAAUAUUGCAAUGCACACAACAUUAUGGGGGACAU
Astyanax mexicanus (Mexican tetra) is the source of this 202-nucleotide long non-coding RNA. RefSeq lists it as uncharacterized. Lineage: Eukaryota; Metazoa; Chordata; Actinopteri; Characiformes; Acestrorhamphidae. The transcript has 3 exons. The record is from RefSeq and is a predicted model, not a curated record.